UGCAGUCGGAGGCAGCACGGACUUCGGUCUGGUGGCGAGUGGCGAACGGGUGAGUAAUGCAUUGGAACGUACCGAGUAGUGGGGGAUAACUAGUCGAAAGAUUAGCUAAUACCGCAUACGCAUUGAGAUGGAAAGCGGGGGAUCUUAGGACCUCGCGCUAUUUGAGCGGCCAAUGUCUGAUUAGCUAGUUGGUGGGGUAAAGGCCUACCAAGGCGACGAUCAGUAGCGGGUCUGAGAGGAUGAUCCGCCACACUGGGACUGAGACACGGCCCAGACUCCUACGGGAGGCAGCAGUGGGGAAUUUUGGACAAUGGGCGAAAGCCUGAUCCAGCCAUGCCGCGUGUCUGAAGAAGGCCUUCGGGUUGUAAAGGACUUUUGUCAGGGAAGAAAAGGUGAUUGCUAAUAUCAGUCGCUGAUGACGGUACCUGAAGAAUAAGCACCGGCUAACUACGUGCCAGCAGCCGCGGUAAUACGUAGGGUGCGAGCGUUAAUCGGAAUUACUGGGCGUAAAGCGAGCGCAGACGGUUUGUUAAGCAGGAUGUGAAAUCCCCGAGCUCAACUUGGGAACGGCGUUCUGAACUGGCAAGCUAGAGUAUGUCAGAGGGGG
RNAcentral lists this ribosomal RNA (607 nucleotides) under uncultured bacterium. Its description in RNAcentral is "bacterial SSU rRNA". It matches the Rfam family "Bacterial small subunit ribosomal RNA", at positions 56 to 660 of the family's 1533-position model. The record is from RNAcentral.